UUGGUGGGGUUGUGGCCUACCAAGGCGACGACGGGUAGCCGGCCUGAGAGGGUGACCGGCCACACUGGGACUGAGACACGGCCCAGACUCCUACGGGAGGCAGCAGUGGGGAAUCUUGCGCAAUGGGCGAAAGCCUGACGCAGCGACGCCGCGUGGGGGAUGAAGGCCUUCGGGUUGUAAACCUCUUUCAGCAGGGAAGAAGCGAAAGUGACGGUACCUGCAGAAGAAGCACCGGCUAACUACGUGCCAGCAGCCGCGGUAAUACGUAGGGUGCAAGCGUUGUCCGGAAUUAUUGGGCGUAAAGAGCUCGUAGGUGGCGGGUCACGUCGGGUGUGAAAGCCCGGGGCUUAACCCCGGGUCUGCAUUCGAUACGGGCUUGCUAGGGUCCGGCAGGGGAGACUGGAAUUCCUGGUGUAGCGGUGAAAUGCGCAGAUAUCAGGAGGAACACCGGUGGCGAAGGCGGGUCUCUGGGCCGGUACCGACGCUGAGGAGCGAAAGCGUGGGGAGCGAACAGGAUUAGAUACCCUGGUAGUCCACGCUGUAAACGUUGGGCGCUAGGUGUGGGGAGCAUUCCACGUUCUCUGUGCCGUAGCUAACGCAUUAAGCGCCCCGCCUGGGGAGUACGG
RNAcentral lists this ribosomal RNA (626 nucleotides) under uncultured bacterium. Its description in RNAcentral is "bacterial SSU rRNA". It matches the Rfam family "Bacterial small subunit ribosomal RNA", at positions 249 to 885 of the family's 1533-position model. The record is from RNAcentral.